This 253-nucleotide ribosomal RNA is filed under the name uncultured bacterium. Its description in RNAcentral is "partial 16S ribosomal RNA". It matches the Rfam family "Bacterial small subunit ribosomal RNA", at positions 524 to 776 of the family's 1533-position model. The record is from RNAcentral.
UACGGGGGGGGCAAGCGUUGUUCGGAAUUACUGGGCGUAAAGGGUUUGUAGGUGGCCCGCUAAGUCACACGUGAAAUCCCUCAGCUUAACUCCGAAACUGCAUUCGAUACUGCCGUGCUUGAGGACUGGAGAGGAGACUGGAAUUUACGGUGUAGCGGCGAAAUGCGUAGAUAUCGUAAGGAAGACCAGUGGCGAAGGCGGGUCUCUGGACAGUUCCUGACGCUGAGGCACGAAGGUCAGGGGAGCAAACGGG